GAAGCAUGAGCUGUAUGUGAGUUUCCAAGACCUGGGAUGGCAGGUUCACCUUAUGAACCCCGAGUAUGUCCCCAAACCGUGCUGUGCGCCAACUAAGCUAAAUGCCAUCUCGGUUCUUUACUUUGAUGACAACUCCAAUGUCAUUCUGAAAAAAUACAGGAAUAUGGUUGUAAGAGCUUGUGGAUGCCACUAACUCGAAACCAGAUGCUGGGGACACACAUUCUGCCUUGGAUUCCUAGAUUACAUCUGCCUUAAAAAAACACGGAAGCACAGUUGGAGGUGGGACGAUGAGACUUUGAAACUAUCUCAUGCCAGUGCCUUAUUACCCAGGAAGAUUUUAAAGGACCUCAUUAAUAAUUUGCUCACUUGGUAAAUGACGUGAGUAGUUGUUGGUCUGUAGCAAGCUGAGUUUGGAUGUCUGUAGCAUAAGGUCUGGUAACUGCAGAAACAUAACCGUGAAGCUCUUCCUACCCUCCUCCCCCAAAAACCCACCAAAAUUAGUUUUAGCUGUAGAUCAAGCUAUUUGGGGUGUUUGUUAGUAAAUAGGGAAAAUAAUCUCAAAGGAGUUAAAUGUAUUCUUGGCUAAAGGAUCAGCUGGUUCAGUACUGUCUAUCAAAGGUAGAUUUUACAGAGAACAGAAAUCGGGGAAGUGGGGGGAACGCCUCUGUUCAGUUCAUUCCCAGAAGUCCACAGGACGCACAGCCCAGGCCACAGCCAGGGCUCCACGGGGCGCCCUUGUCUCAGUCAUUGCUGUUGUAUGUUCGUGCUGGAGUUUUGUUGGUGUGAAAAUACACUUAUUUCAGCCAAAACAUACCAUUUCUACACCUCAAUCCUCCAUUUGCUGUACUCUUUGCUAGUACCAAAAGUAGACUGAUUACACUGAGGUGAGGCUACAAGGGGUGUGUAACCGUGUAACACGUGAAGGCAAUGCUCACCUCUUCUUUACCAGAACGGUUCUUUGACCAGCACAUUAACUUCUGGACUGCCGGCUCUAGUACCUUUUCAGUAAAGUGGUUCUCUGCCUUUUUACUAUACAGCAUACCACGCCACAGGGUUAGAACCAACGAAGAAAAUAAAAUGAGGGUGCCCAGCUUAUAAGAAUGGUGUUAGGGGGAUGAGCAUGCUGUUUAUGAACGGAAAUCAUGAUUUCCCUUGUAGAAAGUGAGGCUCAGAUUAAAUUUUAGAAUAUUUUCUAAAUGUCUUUUUCACAAUCAUGUACUGGGAAGGCAAUUUCAUACUAAACUGAUUAAAUAAUACAUUUAUAAUCU
This 1268-nucleotide long non-coding RNA is filed under the name Homo sapiens (human). RNAcentral's name for it is "HSALNT0100927". The record is from RNAcentral. Lineage: Eukaryota; Metazoa; Chordata; Mammalia; Primates; Hominidae.